CUGGCGGCGUGCCUAAUGCAUGCAAGUCGCACGCAGUCGCUUCGGCGGCUGAGUGGCGCACGGCUGAGGAACACGUGGGUACCUGCCCUGCAGUGGGGGAUAACAGCGCGAAAGCGCUGCUAAUCCCGCAUACGGUCGCUAACGCGAAGAAAGUCGCAAGGCGCUGCGGGAGGGACCUGCGGCCUAUCAGGUUGUUGGUGUGGUAACGGCGCACCAAGCCGAUGACGGGUAGCUGGUCUGUGAGGACGAUCAGCCAGACUGGGACUGAGACACGGCCCAGACUCCUACGGGAGGCAGCAGCAAGGAAUUUUCCCUAUUGGGCGCAAGCCUGAGGGAGCAACGCCGCGUGCAGGACGACGGCUUUCGGGUUGUAAACUGCUUUUGGGGGGGAAGAUGAUGACGGUACCCCCCGAAUAAGCCCCGGCUAACUCUGUGCCAGCAGCCGCGGUAAUACAGAGGGGGCAAGCGUUGUCCGGACUGACUGGGCGUAAAGCGCACGCAGGCGGUUGUGGGCGUCGGUGCUGAAAGUCCACUGCUUAACAGUGGGAUGCGUGCCGAUACGCCAUAACUGGAGCGAUGCAGAGGCCAGUGGAAUUGCCGGUGUAGUGGUGAAAUGCGUAGAGAUCGGCAGGAACACCCAAGGGGAAGCCAGCUGGCUGGGCAUUUGCUGACGCUCAUGUGCGACAGCGUGGGGAGCGAACUGGAUUAGAUACCCAGGUAGUCCACGCCGUAAACGAUGGAUGCUCGGUGUCUGGUGGGUAAUCAGUCCCGCUGGGCGCCUCAGCUAACGCGCAAGCAUCCCGCCUGGGAAACUACGAGCGCAAGCUUAAAACUCAAAGGAAUUGACGGGGGCCCGCACAAGCAGCGGAGCGUGUGGUUUAAUUCGACGCGACGCGCAGAACCUUACCUAGCCUUGACAUGUGUCUGCAAGCCGCUGAAAGGCGGUCGCCUUCGAGGGUGACACACCGGUGCUGCAUGGCUGUCGUCAGCUCGUGUCAUGAGAUGUUGGGUUAAGUCCCGCAACGAGCGCAACCCUCGUCCUUAGUUGCCACCAUUCAGUUGGGCACUCUAGGGAGACUGCCGGCGUUAAGCCGGAGGAAGGUGGGGACGACGUCAAGUCAUCAUGGCCCUUAUGUCCAGGGCCACACACGUGCUACAAUGGGCGGUACAAAGGGUCGCAAACCCGCGAGGGGGAGCCAAUCCCAAAAAGCCGCUCUCAGUUCGGAUUGGAGUCUGCAACUCGACUCCAUGAAGUUGGAAUCGCUAGUAAUCGCGGAUCAGCACGCCGC
RNAcentral lists this ribosomal RNA (1289 nucleotides) under uncultured bacterium. Its description in RNAcentral is "partial 16S ribosomal RNA". It matches the Rfam family "Bacterial small subunit ribosomal RNA", at positions 36 to 1360 of the family's 1533-position model. The record is from RNAcentral.